CUUUUGGUGUAUACGUAUUAACUUUAUUUUGUUGAAUUAGUGAGAUGUAAAGUUGUAAACAAGCAUGUGUUUGGUGGAUGACUAAAUGUAAAAGAAAUGAUGGUUGAAUGGGAAUGUAAUAGUUUUACUUGUAUUUGGUUUAAAUUUAUCAAAUAUCAUGUGUAUUGUAUAUUUAGCUUAGAGCUUUCGCUUCCGUUGUUGCUUGCCCUCGUGCAAGCCUUAUAUUAUAUAUGCAAUUCUUUUGUUGAUUGCCUAUUUAUACUUGUUGUUAGA
Molecule: long non-coding RNA, 273 nt
Filed under: Ananas comosus (pineapple)
Lineage: Eukaryota; Viridiplantae; Streptophyta; Magnoliopsida; Poales; Bromeliaceae
Description: long non-coding RNA (ACOM_LNC015133)
Source: RNAcentral